UAAAAUAAAAGGGAACGAAAGAAAGGAGGUGAUGGCAUGAGAUGGUUUGCAUGUGUUUGUUUCCAUUUCCAUUUCCAUUUCCAUUUCCAAAUCUUUGUCGUUCAUUUCGAUAAACUCUCCAUUGAAGCGGCUUCCGAGCUUACUCCUCCAUUGAAUUCAAGCAGCUUGCCAUUUUAUAUUUUACUCUGACUUCUCUCUCUGGUUUUUCUCGCAAUCAUCUCUAAUUAUUUUGGCUAUGCACAUUCUUUUCUUCAGCUCAAAAUGAUUGGUCACAUGGCGGAUGAUACCCCAUCAAUCCCAGGAAAAUUCAAGCCUGAAAAAUCAUCGAUUUACUUCAAUAGAAUCCGAUGGUCCCUAGAAGAAGAAAUGCCUUGCUAUUUUGGUAUUGUUACACAGUGUAUGGUGGUUCCUACCAGUUUGUGACCUGCCAGCUCUUCUUGGGUGUGCUCAUUGAUGACGGUGAUGGUGGAGUUGAAAGAAGUUCUUCAAGAAAAUGAAAUGUUAUAGAUAUUUUGUGUUUGUUUUAGUGUUUAAUUGCAAUGGAAUGGUUGGAUAGUUAAAGAUGUAAGCGUUAGCACCAACAUGAUUCCGAGUUGUUCUUACAUUCAUCUAGCUAAUCUGUGUUUUUUAUGCCUGUUUUUUCUUUUAUGGAUAGGAUAUUUGUAGGGUUCUUGAAAAAUGGUGUAACCUCAAAUUUGUGUGAGUUGAUAUAGGCUUUUUAUCUUGUUUUA
Molecule: long non-coding RNA, 731 nt
Organism: Chenopodium quinoa (quinoa)
Lineage: Eukaryota; Viridiplantae; Streptophyta; Magnoliopsida; Caryophyllales; Amaranthaceae
Exons: 4
Source: RefSeq, a predicted model, not a curated record